CUCUUCUCCGGUGCUGGUGUGGUAUUGUGGCUGCUUUCAAUCAUCGUUUUCUCCGCUGUUUCAGCUCCGCUCUUCGCCCUUGACCUCCUCUGCAGAGUGAGUCGGCCACGGUGCUGGAGGCUGAUUGAACAGACUGGAAAGGUGAAAAUCCUAAUCCAGCAGAUGGCAGUCAUGGGUCUUCAGUCAACAACACACACUUUCCAGGAA
Long non-coding RNA from Scatophagus argus, 207 nucleotides. RefSeq lists it as uncharacterized. The record is from RefSeq and is a predicted model, not a curated record. Lineage: Eukaryota; Metazoa; Chordata; Actinopteri; Scatophagidae. The transcript is spliced from 2 exons.